This 303-nucleotide ribosomal RNA is filed under the name uncultured Anoxybacillus sp. RNAcentral's name for it is "bacterial SSU rRNA". It matches the Rfam family "Bacterial small subunit ribosomal RNA", at positions 1078 to 1382 of the family's 1533-position model. Lineage: Bacteria; Bacillati; Bacillota; Bacilli; Caryophanales; Anoxybacillaceae. The record is from RNAcentral.
GGUUAAGUCCCGCAACGAGCGCAACCCUCGACCUUAGUUGCCAGCAUUCAGUUGGGCACUCUAAGGUGACUGCCGGCUAAAAGUCGGAGGAAGGUGGGGAUGACGUCAAAUCAUCAUGCCCCUUAUGACCUGGGCUACACACGUGCUACAAUGGGCGGUACAAAGGGUCGCGGACCCGCGAGGGGGAGCCAAUCCCAAAAAGCCGCUCUCAGUUCGGAUUGCAGGCUGCAACUCGCCUGCAUGAAGCCGGAAUCGCUAGUAAUCGCGGAUCAGCAUGCCGCGGUGAAUACGUUCCCGGGCCUU